UUCUUAGAAAUUUCAUCCUCACUGCGCUCAUUAAAUUUGGCACUGGUUGUAGCUGCAAUGGCAUUGCCAAGAUUAGUGAUACCACUUCCCUUAACAGAUAGAGCUGAUGGUGGCAUGGAUUUCUCCAGAGUAGGGUUCAGAACAGGAGGCCCCUUCACCCGCUGUUUUGAUAAUGCUACAUUAGGUGAAGGUUUAGACAUGGGACCCUUUUUCAAUGCCAAGCAGUCAGAUGAUCCCUUAACAGAUGGAGCUGAUGGUGGCAUGGAUUUCUCCAGAGUAGGGUUCAGAACAGGAGGCCCCUUCACCUGCUGUUUUGAUAAUGCUACAUUAGGUGAAGGUUCAGACAUGGGACCAUUUUUCAAUGCCAAGCAUUCAGAUGAGAACCUGCUACUUUUUGGAGCUGAUGCUUCUUUUGACAGACUCUCCUUUGAUAAGCCAACAUUGGAUACAUCAUUUUUAGUUACAGCAGCAGAAGCAACAACACCUCUUAAACUUUUCUCAACUGGUCCAUUUUGAAUGGUUUCCUUUAGACCUUGACUUACACUGGAAUAUGUUUUCUUUGCUAUGGCACUUGCAACCAAGUUUUGUUUCUGAACAACAUCAAUGGAUUUCUUUGGAGUGAAGUUUUUUCUAUCACGAACAUAAAACAACAUGUAGGCCUUCUGAUCUAAAACAGUCCUCUCACUAACCUGGACAACCUGCAUGCCAAAUUAGGGUAAAUCAUAAGGAAGCCACCCCCCUAAGUAGAAAAUGAAGGUGCACACAUUAAGAGGUGUCCAACCAGUGUAUGGAAUCAUGAAUCUUUUUUUUUUGCUUUAUACAGCAUUUUAAGGCAUAAGCGCUCUCCAGAAUGAAGUCACCAAUAGAUGAAGACAUGAAAUAUGAGGCCUUCACCAAUAGAUUAUUCAUGUGUGAAAUGAUAUGUUUAAAACUAAAGGGGAACUUGAAGUUGUAAUACUAAACUCCAAGGGGAAGCCUAAAUUAUGUUGGAAAUUACAAGAGGUGCAUAUAUAUUUAAUAGGUAAAUUUUUUCCCAUUGGGACUUGAACCCGGACCCUCCCACAAACCCUCCCCAUACCUUUACCACUUUAGCCAAACCUCAAGGGCUAGGUAGUCAAGCUCAUAUUUAAAUAACAUUUUUUAAAAUCAUAAAAAGAUCGUACCAUAAAAUGACACAUUCAUUUCAAAUGGAAUGAUGUCAUCUGUGCAAGGUUUACAAGCAUACUCCCAGAAUAUCCAUGAAUAUAGACUUGAAAAAGUUAAGUUACUUCCUACCCGAUUGUCAUCAAGGGAGUACCACAUGCCAGUUGAAGUGCGAACAAAGCAGUAAUAGUGGCCUGAAUGGGUGCUCCAACCGGCAUGAACCAAAACCCCAUAAAGAGUAUACUUCAAAUUUUCUUCCUGCCCAGUAUAGAAAAUUAACCGUAAAUAAAUAAUACAACAGCACAAGCUGCAAGUUACCACUGGCACAAACAGAAAUAUCAGAAUGGCAAACAAAACAACAAAUUCAGUGCAUAAGAAGGACAAAAAGUUCUCAUUAGGUGGUAGCAACUGAGUCCAUCAAGCAUACAGGACACAUGCGGUUAGAUAAAAUCUGUCUACAUAUAUGACAUAUGGAAAGUAAAAAUUAAUGUUAUAUUGGUACCACCUAACAAUUUGGUAUGGAAAAUUUUGAUACAAUUAAUAAGCCUGAUAAUCUGCAAGAAAUCUUUUGGAGUCAAAUUUUAAUUUUACUUCAGCCAUCAUCAGUGAUAAUAAAGCACCAUUGAGCACAUAAAGGGUUCUACAUGAGAUUCGGCAAACAUAAAAUCCAGAGCACCAAGUACUUGCCAUGUGCCACUUUUCCAUUGCAUACCUAACUCAUUAUUAAUACAAUGGCACCAGGGGCUUAAUUUUCAUUUUUGACUUUGACCAAACUUUCCAACAGCUAUUGAACUGUUACAUAGAAAUGUUUUUGCAAAAUGGAUAAAAACAGCUUCUUCAUUGAGAACAGAUGAAAUAAUGAAGAGAAAAAAUGUCAGGGACACCUGCAGAAAAUUUUUAAGAAAGGCAUAGAGAAGUGCCCCCAGUGAAUUUAUUUACAACUAAAAUUAAUUUUUUGAUGCACUUCUCUGACCAUUUGCAACCUGCUUAGCCAAACUAUUUCAGCCCAUUUUUUCCUUCAUCAUCUGUAUUUAUUCAAUUUCCGGCAUUCUGAAAUAAUUUUUUUCAAGGGGUACAUCCUGUUUCCAUAUCAUGAAUUGUUUUUCAAACUCACUUUCCUCUAGGGAAACUACUAUUAGUAAAAAUUAGAUUCAAACUGUGGACCAUGUGCAACAUGUGAAAGUUGACCAAGUUUCCAAAAUCAGUUAAAUAGGAAAUUAAAAAAUGUCACUCACAUAGGAACCACUGACAAAAGGUUUUAAGUCCAUUGUAGGACCAAAAUGAACUUUCUUAUCGAUCUUUUGUCCAGGAUCAUGUGCACCAAACCGCUUUAGAUGGAUGGUCAGAACAUAAGGUGCCUUGUGAACUGUAAGCUGUUUGAGAGCCUUAACUUUCUGUUUGCACCGCUGACAUUGGUACUGUCUCUCACCACCAUCUAAUUGUUCGGUUGCUGUGAAGUGCAUAAGGGCCUUAUGCAAGGAAUCUGCUUUGAAUAUUUCAAGACUCAAAUCUAGAAAUGGAUCAAAUUUGUUGGAGCAGUAGGAGCACUGCAUGCAUUUCACCUGAAAAUGCAACAAGUAGCCAUCAAAGAAUGAUAUAAUAGGAGCUUCCUACAUCAGAACAUUUUAAUAGCAUUGUGGAGUCCCUUCUAGAACUUUAUAGCUUAUUCACAAGAUCUCAAGAAUAACUCCCAAUUCUGGAUUUUUCUUAGAGGUAAAUAAUUUCUGUUUGCCAACUUUGUCAUUGUGCUCCAAUGGCAACUAAAGGUUACCUGACUACGAAGGAGACCACCAAAGAUCUUGUGCACCAAACUUUUCUCAUAAGCACUAGGGGAUUCACUUGGCACACCUGAAGGUAAGCAACAUUUGUGCAUUGUUUCGAGCAAAUUUACCAUAUACUCAUGUGCAUCCUCCUGUCUCGCAUUUCUGAAGUUCCGAGAUAUGCCUAAUUGUACAGUUAAGAAUCACUAAUUUUGUGAGAUCAGAAUAACAACAAAGGCCUUAUACGUAAAGAACAGAGUAAACCAUUGAGCUAUACCCUAAGAGAAUCUGACAUGGCAGGACAUGUCUUCCAGCACUGUCAGGUAUGUCAGGAAGUUGUGUCUUUCACUGGGAGCUCAUUGGAAUCAGAAAUUUUAAUUUUUUGAUAAAUAAAAGCAAAUUCACUAAAGGUUCCAUUAGAUCUCAAGAAAUUGUAGCUAAGGGGGGAAAGAGGAAGGAAUUUCAAAUUCUUUUAUUUUAUUUCUCACAAAAAAUAUGAAGGAAAAUAAAAUAUGAUAUAGUUUUCUUUUUCCUUGACUUUUCUUUCAUUCUCUUUUUCCUCCUUAUUAGCUUUCCUUCAUACUGUCUCAAGUUAUGCAUGAUCCAAACUGACCCUAAAUGUGCUAAAAAGGGAGGUUUCUCGCUACACCUGGUUUGUAUCUAGAUGUUUGAAUUUAAAUCCAUCGAACAAUAAGGAAACUUGCUUAGCAUUGUUGAUAACUUGCUAUAUAUAAUUUAGAAGAAGAAAAUAUGGAAAAUCCAAAAGGAUGUUAAGAACAAAUAACAUAAAUUGAAGACAUGGCACUUAAAUUUUGGAACCUAAACACCAACCUCCUCUGUCGACAUACGACCAAAAAUAAAAAUAAAGGGGGGAAAGAAAAUCCAAGGAACUUAGUUGAUGAGUAACAGAAAAAGACAAUCAAUAUGACAAUAUCAUUAAAUGAAGAUACAUAAAGUGCAAUCACUAUGACACUUCAGAAAGGAUACACCGUAAGUUAGAGACAAGAUCCUUGGGUGCUAAUAUUCUUCCAGUUGACUGAAGAGCACGGCUGACAUGCUUCUGGAUGGCACAUAAAGCACAAAAUCCAGCAAUAUGACCUUCAUUCACAUUAAGAAAGACAUUAGAAAUAAAGCAUGGCUACAACAUAUCGACCUGCUAAACUCAGGUUCAAAGUGAAACAGAAUCACAAAUUAGAUAAAUAACAAAAGGAUACAAAUACUACAAAAUAUAAUUUAGAAAAAAUAGAACAAGGGGCAAAAUUAUUAACAGAAUCUUAGUAAAGAUAGUUCAAUCAAGAACUUGUGUACUCAACCUAGAUUAUCUUGGUUAUAGGGGUUGCAAUAAAAACAACAAAUAGAGAAAUUGGCCAAAAUAAAAGGACAACAUGAAAAAUACAUAAUACUUCACUAAUAAUAUAUGACAGUGCAUUUUUCAUGUAAAUGAUAUAACCAACACAUAUCGCAUCUUGAGUGUACCUAUACAUUUUUCAUAGGCAAACAAGAAUAGUAUGACAUAAAAGAUGAAAAGAAAAGAAGCACAAGAGAAGAAAAGAAGCACACUGCAUAAUGCUUAAUAAACUCCCACCCCCUGCACCAAUGAGUAAAACAAGGAAAAGAACACUUUCCAUCCUUCAAGAAGGCUUUCAACCACUUGCAUAAGGAUUUCAGGAAAAAGAUGUUUCUGCUUCAGGUUCAAUAGCUUCAUUCCUUUAAAAAUCCUUCAGUUCCGCAUUCCUUCCAUGAGCACAAAAAGAUUUUUGGACUUAUAGAGGACCACCAUCAAGGACAGGGCGUUGAGAUUUAUCAGAGUCUACCAAACACCUCCUCAAAGAUUCCAUCCUCUUUAGUGUGCCCGGGAUGUCCAACAAGAUCUCCAAGGAAGCUGCAUUGAGAGCUUUUUCCCAACUAAGUUGUCACAAACCCAAUCUUCACCACUUUGGCCUAGAUGUGGGAUUGCCGCACAGACAAGCCACCUCAUGCCCAGGAACAGUACCUUGACCCAACACGGUUUCCAAAUGAUUCAUGGAAACCCAGGUUUGAGGUCUUCACAUCUAUGACAGCCCACCCAAACAAGUCAAAAUCUUUUCCCCAAGUAAUGAAGAGACAUCUUGCAUCCUUAGAAAACACAGAGAGCAGCAGGAUCCUACCAGCAAAAUUCUUUUUCAUGUCCACCCAAUACCAUCUUUCAGCUCUCCAAAGAAAUCCUUCUCUGUGUCCACAUACACCACUUGUCCAACCAUUUUAAUAACCAACCCAACCCCUUAAUUUCUCUAGUUGGUCCACCUCAAAUGACCUUUCCCCCUCUCAACAAUUAUUCCAACGACACAACUCUUCACUCCUUCCACUUCAAGCUAAAAGAAUUUGGUCUCAGCUUAAACAAGACCUUCUCCACCACAUGUUCACUUCAAAAAGUAUGAUACGCGAUUGAUGCAAUAUGAACACGUGUGACUAUAUUUAAUAGUUUUAAGAAAAUUCAAAAUUUUCUCAUUUAAAAAGAACNNNNNNNNNNNNNNNNNNNNNNNNNNNNNNNNNNNNNNNNNNNNNNNNNNNNNNNNNNNNNNNNNNNNNNNNNNNNNNNNNAGCUUCUUCAAAAUUUGGUCAGACAACUCUUCCCCUUGGAAAGCCCUUCUAUUUUGCUUUCUGGGAUACACCAAAAAAGACAAAUUAGAGCCAAUCUCCAAACUGCUCUUCUCUUCUUCCCUAGCUCCUUAACUUUCCAUUCUAGAAAAAGAUUUCUUACUUAAGCCAGGAACACCCACACCAUUCCGAAACAUGUUAACUACAAACUCCAAAGCUCCCUUGUCUUAUCACAAUGAAUCAAAAUGUAGUUAGUCAAUUCUUCACUAUCUUUACAAAGGCUACACCUAUUGACCAUGGACCAUCCCUCUUCAAUCUGCCUUUGUCUAUCAAAAAAAAUAAAGUGAGGAAAAAAACAUGUGGCGAGAUUCAAAUACAUAACCUUUCAUCAAACAAGGAUCUGAUACAUGUUGAAUAAUCAAUUUUUCAAAAGGCUUAAGCUAGUAGGAUUUGGACUCACAAUGUAUAUCAUACACUUCAACAAAAGCCUAGUUAUUUGCAAGCAUAAUUUUAACCUUGAGGAGAUGAUGAAUUAGCAAUGCAGAUUUUUGCUUAAUAAUCAACAUAUGCCCAUGGAACCAACAUAAUAAAUGAUAAAUAGCUUCCUAAAAAAAAUAGCUUACAUGGAAUGUACAUGCAUGAUGAAUACCUGUUUGUACACAACUAUGACUUUUCAUUUUGGAGAUAUUCAUGAAAUUGACAUGAGUUUGACAUUUUUGGACACAACUGUGAUUUUUCAUUUUAUACUUAAAAAAAAGGAAGUAGUUUGAUAAAAUUGGACAAAAUAGAUAAGAUAAAAAGAGAAGCUAGAGUCUAUUUGUUAAUUGUUCCCAAAAAUAGUUUUUUGUUUUUAAAAACAAAAAUUAGAGUGUUUUAUGAGAACACUUUUUAGUUUUUUUCACUUGGUUUUGAAAAAAUAAUUAUACAAUUUUUUUUUUUUUUUAUUUUAUUGGAAACGCCACAAAGAUAUAUUGAUAGAAAAAAGAAGUACAAGAAGAAGGAUGAGAAAUCCUCCCACCAAAGACAACUAAAUUACAGGAAAAUACACAUAAAACAAACGAACUCCCACUAAGGACCAAUCCCUAUGGAGUACACACUGCUAUCCAAUCCAAUUGAAUCACAUUAAGGGAAGUCCCCUUAAAUGCCUUGGAACAAAAAGCCCAAAGGGAAGCAAGGAAAACAAUAGAGUCCCAAAGGAACUCUGAAUUCCUUGUUUUAUCCUCGAAAAUCCUUGCGUUUCUUUCCCACCACACAACCCGAAUUAGAGCUAUGCUCGCAGCUUGCCACAAAACUAUCCCUCUCUUAGAAUUACCGAAGCCUUUAAAUUUGAUGGACAUCAUGUCAUAUAUGCUCCUUGGGGGAACCCAAUCCAUCUUAGCUAACUGAAAUAACCUGUGCCACAACCCAAUCGUCAAGGAACAAUGAAGAAAAAGAUGAUCUGUUGUUUCCCCGUGCUUCAUGCACAGGAUACAAAUAUCAGGACUAAGGGCUUUGUAGGGUUUUCUCACUUGUAACAUGUCAUUAGUAUUCACCUUCUUGUGUGCCACUAACCAGACAAAGGACUUCACUUUCAAAAUAAUUAUACAAAUAUGGAGAAUGAUUAAAAAUAAAGCACCACAAAUAAAAAUUAUUUUAAAAAAAAUUAAAAUAUAGAAAACAGGUUAAGAAGAUUUUAAGUUCCCAAUUUGUUCUACAAAACAUCAUAGAGCAAUUUUCAAAAAUAGUUCUCAAAAACUGUUUUCAGAAACACUUCCCAAAUAGAGCCUUAGACUCUCAUUCCUAGUUAAGCACCAAGCAUGCAUGUAGACAUCCAAAAAAGCCACACACAAAUGUAGGAGAGCAAGCCAACCAUCAUAGAUUUGGGAUUUGUUUCUAAAAUAAACCAUGCAGGAAGUUCCCUAACCCCUUCUCGCAUGGAUAGACAUGAAAUGGAUCAAAUUGAGAAAGGCCCCAAAUGACAACCAUAGUGACCCAGGGACUCACUGAUAGCCCUUCCAAGCAGUUAAUUAGCUUAGUGACCUGGGGACUACAUCAAAACUUCAAGCACAUUACUAUGUCUGUCCAAGCUCAAUCAAUUACAACGUCAAUUGUGCAAGAACAACUGAAAUAUGUUAACUAAGAUAAAUUCAAAAUUUUAUUCACUUUGACGGAAUUUAGAUAAAUCUUAAAAUCCUAAAGUCGUGAACAGGAAGAGUAGAACAAGGGUCUGUUAUAAAUUUUAAAUUCUUCACUCAGUACUCCACUCCAUCGUGCCCUCAAAGGAACAAUUCUGGAACAAGUUAAUCCAUGAAACCCUACAUGUUUACAGCAUGCAUAGAGGGAGUUGGGAAUGUUUGAGCACAAUUCUGUUUAUGCAUAUAUGGGAUUUAGGGGUAUAAGACUUAUCAGAUUCCAUUGUAUGAACUUCUAGUAUCUCCUCUAUACAUAGCAUAAUACUUGGAAUAAUUCCUAAUGAGGACACUUAAAAACAAAUUGAAGUCUAAUGCAAAAUCUAUCAAAAGCAUGAAGUAGAGAAUAAAAUAUAACCAAUUUCAAGAAAAACGGUAGGAUUUAAAGAGUUAAAACUAUGUCAUACCAUAUGAAAAAAUCAAAUACUAGAAUUUUGAAAAGUUCAAUCUAAAAAAACAUGAAUUUAAUAUAUAAAGCCAUAUGUGUGUGUGUGUGCGUGCAUGCGUGCGUGCGUGUGUGUGUGUGUGUGUGAGAGAGAGAGAGAGAGAGACUUACAAGAAUUUUGAUGCUUUCCACUUUGCAAAUAUGCUGCUAAAGGCUCUGUGUAAGUCAGGCAUUGCAAUACUGAAUUAAGAAAACAGGUAUUUCCCAGAUUUUCCAAACCAGCACCCUGUAAAAUUAUUUAUGCCAUGUACAUAGUUAAGCUAUUGCAUAACUCCAUGGUACCAAGUGCAAUAGAAUUGAAUAAAGACCUCAAAUUCAACAAAAUAACUAAGUUCCAAAUAAAUUUGAAUUGAACCACCAACUCAACAGAAAUCAUACAACAAAAGGAAAUCAUUGAUCUAAAGAGGAAAUGACCCAUAAAGAAGUUGAUCAGAAGCAAAAGCACAACAAUAUUCAACAGUUGAAACAAAUUCAAAUGGAACAAAAUUUACUCAACGGCAGAGCACAUGUCAACAAGAAGACUAUUACUAUCAAACAAUAGCUUCAGAAAUCGACAUUUAACUGAAAUGUGAGAAGUUAUACAUAAAGCCACUGAUUGAAGAAAAAGCUUGUUUAUUUAUUUAUUUAUUUUUCAAAAUAGUACAGAAAUCUCAUCUUUCUUAUGGUUGAUGACUCAAAUACAUUGAGUAAUAGAGUGAACAAAACCACAGUCGAUUAAAAUAGGAAAGAACCUAAUAAAUAUUUUCACAAAUGGUUGAAACUUGAAAGAAGAAGACACAGUGAACAGUAGAGCAUAUACCAAAAGAAAACAACUUGUGCAAAAUCAAACUCAAUAAAAUAUUAAAAACCCCAUAGAAUUAUAGAAGACGUUUUAAAAAAACUCAAAUUGAAGAACAAUCGCUAUGAAAUAUACCAUAUACAGAAAAGGAGAUGAAAAAUAAUUCAAUCAAAACCUCCCAAACUUCUAACACUAAACAAAACCCAUCUGAAAAGCACAUACACCCAUAGUAGAAAAAAUCGCAAACCGGAAAUGAUUUCCCAAAGAAAACGAAAAGAGCUUACAAUUCUCCUAACUGUGAUCCCAAUACUGAGCUCCGGAUCCAACCCGUUCUCCACAUGAUCAGACCCAUCUUGCUUCUUCCCACUCGAAGCCGCCGGACCCGUACUGUGCCCAGACCGCUUCGGAUCCGUGGUGGGGUUCAGAGUCUCUAGUCGAAAACCUCCGCUGCCAUUGGUGAAGCCAGAGUAAGGCUUCCUUGUGAGAUGAAAAUCGAUUCUUCUGUGGAACAAAGACCCAGCUGAAGACGGGUGCGGCGAAGCCGAGGGACCAUUUUCCUGAGCAUUGGCUUCUGGGUUGGAGAUCAACGCUUCCGCCAUGAAACCUCUGUAAUUGAGUCAAUAGAGCUCCGAGAAUUGGCCUUCUAUUCUUUCCAGACUCUUCUCCGUCUUUUGUAUGCGCUUGGUGUUUCGGCUUCUGCGAAAGAGAGAGAGAAAAAAAAAAAAAAGAACGAUGCUAUUAAACCCUACACUCCCCCCGAGUCGGCAUUUUAUGGUUUAUAACUUUAUUCUAAGGAUGAAAAUAUCGGUUUCAUUUGACGGCGGUGAAGAAUUUAGGAUUCAAACUUUUCUUUCGUUUUCUCAGUACACAAACGACUGUAUAUAAUCUAGAAGGCCAUUGAACUAACUGGGAACAGAGAUUGGAAGAGUACCUUGAAGGCUUGAACUGAGAGAUGGACCGAAAGCUGCGUUUGGAGAAGGAAUGAAUGAAUGCUAUGGAGCAAAGAGAGAUGCUGCCAGCAAACCCUAAAGCGAGUAGAAUGUGAGCUGGGUGAGGUGAUACAGUGAUAUUGGGCUGGGCCUAGGCCGGCCCAAUCUUACCAUAUAACAAAACCAAAAUAUAAUUCACACCCAAAAUUUUGAAUUCUUGGUUUCAUUGUCUUAUUUCAAAAUCAUUUUAUCUUAUUUUUAAAAUUUCUUGUUUCAUAUUGUUGUCAUUAUUAUGCUUUGAGGUUUCAAUUUAAGAAAUGUUUAUAUAUAUUACCUUAUUGUAAUUAUUGUGCUUCUAAUUUCAUAGCGUGCAUGACACAUUUUGUUUCUCCUAAUCGUAGUAUAAAUGUAAUUAAAUAUUAGAAGAUAUAAAAGUUUGUUUUAAAAACAAUUUUUUAUUUCUAAAAAUAAAAAAACGUUUUUAAAAAUUCAUAACACUGUUGUACCAUAAUUAUAUGGAAACAAAUUUUAAGAACAAAGUGAAAUAAAAAAUAGUUUAAGAGAACAAAUAUAAAUUAUUUUUAUUAGUUUUUUUUUUUUAAAAAAAAAAAAGAAAACAUAUAAAUUAAUAAAAGAUAAAUAAAAUCGAACAUGAUAUCAUUCUCUUUCUCUUCACAAUAUAAGAAUCUUAAAAUAUGAUUUAUUUUUUUUACAUUUUACAUUUUUUUUAUUUCUUUUAAAUGCUCUAAAAUUUUGUAUUAAGUAAAUAAAUUUUAAAUCAAACUCCACAUGAUACAUAAAAUUUAUUAAUUUUAAAAAAUAAUUUGAAACUUAAAAACAUAUUUAAUUAAUAUUAAAAAGUUAUAGAACUCAAUAAUAUUAGUGAGUCAUAUACCAAAAUUUAUUUUAAAUGUCUGGAUUAGUUUCUUAAUAUGUUGGAUUCAUUAACAAGUUUAAUAAUUUUUAAAAUUAACUUAAAAUACAAAUAAUGAUCCAACGGAUACAAAAAAUCUAUAAACAAAAAUUAGUUUAAAAUGAUUUACAUAUAAUCAUUAUUUUAUAUUUUUUUAAUAAGACAAAUAAGUUUUGAAUUAAAAUCAAAUUCAUUAAAAGUUUAAUAAUUUUUAAAAAUAAUUUGAAACUCAAAUAACAAACUCAUUAAUACAAGACAUUUUAUGACUAACAUUGGUUUAUGAUGACUCUAUUAUUAUUAUUAUUAUUUUUACACGUAAUUAUAUUUUUAUAAUUUUUUUCGAAACUUAAAAUGAAGUGAUAAUCAAGUGAUACUUUAUAUUAAAUUUAUUAAUGGGUUAAUAAAUUUUAAAAAUAAUUUGAAAUUCAAACAAUAGACUUUGUCAUGUUUAGGAUUUACUUUAACUAAUAUAAUUAAAGUGAACUUCUUAUCAAUAAGUUUAAUUUAAUUAUAUUGAAAAAUAGGGAUGACAACGAGGUUGGUUUGAGAUAGAUCGUUCUCAUCUCAACCUCGUCUUAUUUAUUCAAAAUAAUUCACAUCUCCGUCUUAUUAAAAAAUUAAACAAAAUAGGACACAUAUGCAGAUUUCUUAUAUCUACCCUUUUCGUCUCAAUUACCUUUUUUUUUUAAUUUUUUGAAUUUUUUAGAAAAUAUUUAUUUUUUAUUUUUAAUUGCAUUAAAAUAAUAUAUAUUAUAUAAAUAAUUAAAAUAUUUAUAAUUUUUAUAACAAUUUUAUUAAUAUUUAUUAUAUUAAAAAUAGGAAAAUAGAAAUUAUUUUGUAUUGUUUGUUAAGAGUUGUUUUAAAAAAUAAUUUUAGAAAUAUAUAAAAUAAUUAAAAAUAAAAUACUAAAUAAAAAUUAUUUGUAAAACAUAUUUAAAAUAUUUUAAGUUUCAAAAAGAUUUUUAUUUUAUAAAACAUUGCAGUGUUUUUUAUAACUGUUUUUUGAAAUAGUUAGCGAACGGUCCAUAAUAUUUCCGACAAAAAUGGGACCCACACAUACUAGAGGGUCAAUGAAUGCACGAGUACUCCUAUAGAAUGAAGUAGACUUGGACUUGACUUUGAAGCAGCGGGGACUACUGUAGGAUUGCUGAUGGCUACCCACUGCUAUGUGCUGGAAUUACCGUAUACUCCCCAUGUUCCGAUAUAAGAAGAACCGACCGAAAAAUCUUAGGCUAGGGUGGCCUUGGUCACAUGGCCUAUCUAAGAUCCCUAAUGGCUUUCGCCGUCUUUCUACUCGAUCCCUCCCCUGGCUUUCCUCCCAGGAAUCUUGCCGGCUUUCCUUAUAACUUUAAAUUAUAUUAUUUGGUAACUUUUGGUAGAAGGUUCUUACGGACAAGAAAGGCGGGAAUACCGAUCUAGAUUAUAUUGAAUAAAAAAUAUAUAUCUUAAAAAAUAUUUUUUAAUAGGAUAUAAUAUUAAUAGAUAUUAAAUUAAAUGAACGGGAUAAUAUUGGAUAUUAAAUCAAAUAGGUAUGAUAUCCCAUGGUAAUAUAUUUAAUAUGUAGUUUUUAUAUUUAGUUUGUAAAAUAAAUAAAAAUAAAAUAGAACAUAUAUUAUUUUUUAAUGUUUAAAAUAUAAAUUAUAUUACAUUUUAAUAUUUUAAUUUUAAUAAUAUUCAUGAUUAAAAUAUUUAAAUUUUAUAAAUAAAAAAUUUUAUAUUAUGUUUUUCAAUAUAUAAAAAUAAUUUUUAUAUAUUGAAUAAUAUAUAUUAAUUUAAAGCCUUUAAAUAGGAGUUGAAAGCCCAAACUAAUCAUCAGAUGCGGUUUGACUAUGUUUGGUUCUCUAAAGGUUUGAAGGAAAAUACGGAACAAAGAAAAUAAAGAAGAAAAUUNNNNNNNNNNNNNNNNNNNNNNNNNNNNNNNNNNNNNNNNNNNNNNNNNNNNNNNNNNNNNNNNNNNNNNNNNNNNNNNNNNNNNNNNNNNNNNNNNNNNUAUUACUUUAAUUUUUUUUUCACUUAUUUAAGUCUUCUAUAUAAAGAUUAAAUAAUCUAAAAAUAUACAAAUUUCUCAAUAAUUUUAAUUAUAUUUUACUUUCUUUCACAUUUUCCAUAACAAAACCAAACAUAAGAAAAUAAUUUUCUUUAACAUUUUUUUUUCCUAAUACUUUAUGGGAAUCAAACAUAGCCUUUGAGAUUGACUAAUUGAUCAACUAGUUGAACCAAAUACUAGCCAUUGAGAUUACCAUUGCUCAAUCCAUUCAAUUAACCCUCAACCGGUCCUAAACAUGUUAAAUACAUACUUCUAGAAAAGAGAAAAUGCAAGUGCACAUCCACCAAUUGAGCCUAAUUGGCUCAACUGAUUCCUCCUACUUCAACCACUUGCAUUAUAAAAUGUAUUAAAAAAAACUCUGAUUUGAGGCUUAGAACCUUUGAUAACUUGUAUUCAAUUUCUUGAAGUCCAUUACAACAAGUUUAGGAAGAAUUAAGUUCUAAGGAUUUUUUUAAAAUAAAAAACAAAAAAAGGAAAUUGUACAAUUUAAAAAAUAAAAAAUAAAACCAAUUUAAGCACUUUGAUGAUUUUAAGUGUUUAAAUAAAAAUGAAAUGCAUGGUCUUAAUACACCAAUACCCUUAUAAAAGAUCUUAGAUAAAUGGUUAUCAUUGAUCUUCUCUUCGAGAUCUUUUCUUUCCUUUUUAAUUAAAAAAAAAAUUCCCUUUUGGCUUGACAUAUCUUCGAUUGCUUCAUUAAAAAUCUUUUGACCUAAAUACACUAUUAGUUUCAAACAAAUUGAGAUUAAGCAUACCUUGGUUUCACACUUUGAUUGCUUAAACUUGUUAUCAUUUAUAUGAAUGAGGAUCUUGGGUUCUCAAAUUGAAUUCAUAAAUGUGAUUGGAAAUCAAGGCAAAGUUUCAGUAGCAAGAUCAAAUUUAGACUUUGUUUGAAUUGAAUUGUCUAUGAUGUUUUUAUGCUUUAUUUGGAUUCAUUAAAUUCAACAGGAAAGGACUAUGGACUACUGGACUAGGGCAGCAACAAUAUUCUUGGAAAUGCUAUGCUUUGGAACAACAAUUAGCUUUGAAGAUAACUGUGAUAUCACACAUCGGAUAGGGGAGAAUGUUCUUGGCGCUAUAUAUGUAGAGACUCCUCUUGACCAAGUAGACGUGUUUUAAAACCGUGAGACCCCCUUUGGGUCCAAAGUGGAUAUAUCUACACGGUUGGGAACAUUACAACAACACUCUUUUUCUCAUGAGUUGUGCAAGACUUUGAAGAUAGACAACAACACUCUUUUUCUCAUGAGUUGUGCAAGACUUUGAAGAUAGACAUGGAGGGUAGUUUCUUGUUCUAAGUCUCUUGAAUUUGUGAUUUCUUGCAUAUAAAUGGUGGUGAGCAUUAAAACAUGGGACCACAUUUAUGUUCAUGUAGCAAGAAUGUUGGAGUUUUCACACCAAGUGGAAACAGUGAAUCUAUCAGUUUGAAUGUGUAGCUUGGAUCUCUCAAUUCUUACAUCUCUCCCAAGAUUUUCCAAUUUUAUUCCAUUUUCCUUCUUUUUCUCUCAAAUUUUCCCUUUCAUCUUCAAUCAUUUUCUAUCUCUAGAAGACCUGUGCUUCGAACUAUCAAUUCAUUGUUGGAAGUGUUUGGGACGUUGUUGAAAGGUUCUUUUCGCAGAGCAAAAAAUGUGCGUUCUUCGCUUGGUUUGUUAUCUGUGCUAAAUGGAAGGCUGGGGUUGUUCCUUCUUCGAGUUUCGGUGAAGGUAUGCGAUUAGUCUCUUUGUUUGCUAACAGUUUGAUGGAGAGGAAUGGAAAUGCAUAAGAUUCAAGACCCUGAAGUUCUUCUGUUCUUCUAUGCGUCCUCUGCAACCAAUUGGGUAAAUGGCUUAAUUAGUGACAUAUAUUGUUGCUGAUAAACAUGGAACCCACACAGAGGUCACUGCAUACAUCAGUCCAUGGACUCCGUCAAGGAGAAAACACAUGGGGAUACAAAGUCAAAGAAGCUGGCGCAGCAGAGAAGUAGACUCCAGACAAUGAGUUUAAAUUGGGUGUCAUGUGUAAGCUGUUUGUGAUCCUCUUCAAGCCUUCAUCUUCGCUGUCCCAUCACUUAUCCAUUUUCUGAGCUGUGUGAGACUCUAGUCUUCUUGCAAAUCUAGUCUUCUAUGUGAGUUAAAUUCCCAUCUAGCUGCAAUUACAACAUAUGCUACUAUUCCCAAUUUUCUUGAUUUCAUUCUAUGGCUAAAUCCAACAAUUCUCUCAUGUUUUACAGAUGAGCAAACCAGAUAUGAUGAACAAUAACUGCCUUGGAUGGGCAGCAAGAGACGAAUCUGGAGUUCUAUCGCCUUACACAUUUACUCGAAGGUACAUAUAUGUAGCAGUGCAAGCUAAAAAAUGUUUCAAUGAAUAAAAUCUUCAUAGUUUCUCACCGACUCUCUUGAUUGACAAAACUUUGUACAGGGAAGUUGGGGAUGAGGAUGUUUCACUAAAAAUUACACACUGUGGAAUAUGUUAUGCUGAUAUGCUCUUUACCAAGAAUAGGUUGGGAGACUCAAGAUAUCCGUUGGUUCCUGGGUGAGUCUUUGGCUUUGCAUCUAUAAUUCAAACGACAAAUUGUAGGUAAUCUUUUUGUUUGGAAUAUGUACUAGGCAUGAGAUUGUUGGGAUUGUGAAAGAGGUUGGUUCCAAUGUUCAUCACUUCAAAGUUGGCCAUAGAGUUGGAGUUGGAGCAUAUGUCAAUUCAUGCAGAGAAUGCGAGUCUUGUAACCAGAGUCUAGAAGUUUAUUGCUCGAAGGGAUCAGUCUAUACAAGUAAUGGGGUUGAUGCCGAUGGCACGAUUACAAAUGGAGGAUAUUCUAGUUUCAUUGUCGUCCAUGAAAGGUGAUCAGCUCAAUAUUAACCGAUGAUUAUCUCGAGUUCUUCUCCAUUUUUGUAUCAUUUGGACUUCUUUAGAACGAUGAUCGAAGGACUUUAAUUUACCAUUGGACUUCAUUGAACGAAACUAUGCAUACUUUGAAGCAAAAUUAGGCUAAUUAAGAGUGAGGGCUGAUUUUUUUCUUUUCUUUUCUUCCUGGUUUUGGUUGAAUCAACAGGUACUGUUUCAGGAUACCUGAUGAGUACCCAUUAGCUUUAGCAGCACCCUUGCUAUGUCCUGGAAUUACUGCCUACUCUCCCAUGGUGCGCCACAAGAUGAACCAACCUGGUAAAUCUCUAGAAGUGAUUGGGCUAGGUGGUGUUGGUCACUUGGCUGUCAAGUUUGGGAAGGCUUUCGGAUUGAAUGUAAAACUUUUCAGCACAAGUAUAUCCAAGAAAGAGGAGGCAUUAAGUCUGCUUGGAGAUGACAAUUUUGUGGUCUCAUCAGAUGAACAACAGAUGAAGGUAAAAGCCCUUAAAACCUAUGCAAGGUUUGGGGUUUAAGAUAUCGGUAAAUUGAUGGUGAUUAUCUUGUAUAUAUGCAGGCAAUGGCUAAUUCACUUGACUUUAUAAUUGACACUGCAUCUGGGGAUCACUCACUUGAUCACUAUAUGUCAUGUUUGAAGACUGCUGGUGUCCUAGCCCUAGUGGGCUUCCCUGGUGAUCAAAUCAAACUCAGUCCUGCAAGUCUCCUUAGGGGUAAAUUAUACAUUCAUCAAAUUAAUUUUUUUUUCAGAAGACAUAUAGUUAAGUUAGAAUACUGAUUGAAUAUUUGUGGGGCAGGUAUGAAAACCAUCUCUGGAAGUCUAGUAGGUGGUGUGAAGGAGACUCAAGAAAUGUUGGAUUUUUGUGCUGCACACAAAAUAUACCCAGACAUCGAAAUAGUUCCAAUCCAGUAUGUAAAUGAAGCUUGGGAGAGGCUGACAAAGGGCGAUGUGAAGUACCGGUUUGUAAUUGAUGUUGAGAACUCCCUGAAGUGAUCACAAUAGAGUGGAAGAGGAACAUGAUUUUUCUGAUUACCCUAUGGUGGGGCUUUAAUCAAAUACAUAGUGAUUCAAGUUAUUGAAUGAUCAUCAAAUCUAUCAUAUAUAAGAUGAUCCUUUUUUUGUUAAGUAGGUUUGAUCCUUUUGUAAUCAGUUACAGUUUUCAACAUAAAAUAAGUGAAAAAUAAUGUUGGAUUGUGUUCUAGAUGUUGAUGAUAAACUAAUGACUAAAUUUUUAAUACAAUGGUUUUUCUAGCUUAUCGUUCUCGGUUUCGCAUGGUAGAUCAUGGAUAAAAAUGUUUAUGAACAUGGGAAUGCCCAACAAAAGAAAUGCCUGAUUUGAAAAGAUGUUCAAAAUAAACUUUUGGCAUAGGUGGAUUAAAGAAUUCAGAAAAACAGAACAAUCCACAGUUGGUUGGUAAUUAGCUUUUUUUUUCUUUUGAUUUUUCGUUUUAUAUAUCAAUAAUUCUGACCUUACAAUCAAUGAUAUUUAACAAACAUAGAUCCAGUUUUGAAUUAUUAGUUAAAUACUUGCACAUGUCAUGUGAAAGUGGUAUAAUCCUCGUUUGACCAUGUUCUUUAAGUACUGGCAUAUGCAAGGAACCCACACAGAGGUCACUGCAUACAUCAGGCCUUGCACCGAGUCAUAAGGAAACAUGACCGCAGCCUGAUUAUAUUACAUUGUAAAAGAAGCAGGUUAAACAAUCAAGUAGACUUCAUUGUGCAUAUAUAUAUAUAUAUGAUCCACUCCUUGACCUGAGACCAAUGCUUCUUCACUGCCAUAACUGUACUGAUCUCUAGUCUUGCAGGUAAAUUUCUCUCCUCUACUGAUGUUUGUCUCCAGCUUUGUACUAAUCUUGAUCAUAUGUUUCUCUGGUGAAACCAAAUUAAUGCAUGCCUUGGCUAUAACCAUGACCAUAUGUGUGUGUAGAUCAUAUGAUGGAGAAUUGUCUAGGAUGGGCAGCAAGAGAUCCAUCUGGGGUUCUUUCACCUUAUUCAUUUAACCGCAGGUAACAAAUUCGUUGGCGAUAACCAUACAUACUUAGCAUAUAGAAAUUAAGUUCAAUUCACCUAUCCUUUUAGGGUAUCUAGAACUCAAGUAUAUUGGACUGAAUCAAUUUUAUACAGAGUUGUUGGAAGUGAUGAUGUUUCUCUGAAAAUCACCCACUGUGGGAUCUGCUAUGCUGAUAUAAUCCAUACCAGGAACAAAUUUGGAAACUCAAAAUAUCCUGUAGUUCCAGGGUAAGUCCAUGUUUUGCACCUAUGAUUAAAAUAACGAAGGGGGUAUUUGUCUCCUCGGCUUCUCGUCUUCUUAUCCAAUCCAACUUAAUUUUACUAAUCUUUGCUUGGAUUGGUUCAUGUAAUCUACCAUGUAUUUAUGUUGUGCAUACAAGACAUGAUAUUGUUGGUAUAGUGAAAGAGGUGGGUUCCAAUGUUGGUGUCUUCAAAGUUGGUGACAGCGUAGGAGUGGGAACAUAUGUCAACUCAUGUAGAGAGUGUGAAAACUGCGAGGAGGGGCUAGAAAUCCAUUGCUCAAAGGGCCCAGUCUUCACAUUUGGUGGGGUUGAUGUGGAUGGCACCAUCACAAAGGGUGGAUAUUCCAGUUUUAUCGUUGUUCAUCAAAGGUGAGAGCCCUCAAUAUCUUUUGAUUUUGUUACUGUGGCUGAAACUUUCCUAUAUGAUAAGCAUGGACAACUGAAAUCAGAAUUAUUUUAGGUUUCCAUGGGGUGUUUAAGGAAGCAUCCCUUGUGCUUUGAUGUCCAUAGUGCGACCAAAAAGCUAGAAACAAGGACUAAUAUGUUGUUUUCAUUUUUUCGGUUUGGUUGAAUUAACAG
Molecule: long non-coding RNA, 18421 nt
Filed under: Vitis vinifera (wine grape)
Lineage: Eukaryota; Viridiplantae; Streptophyta; Magnoliopsida; Vitales; Vitaceae
Description: long non-coding RNA (VVIN_LNC007193)
Source: RNAcentral